Molecule: ribosomal RNA, 468 nt
Filed under: uncultured bacterium
Lineage: Bacteria
Description: partial 16S ribosomal RNA
Rfam family: Bacterial small subunit ribosomal RNA
Source: RNAcentral
GACGAACGCUGGCGGCGUGCUUAACACAUGCAAGUCGAACGGGAAGGCCUUGCUUUUGUGGGGUGCUCGAGUGGCGAACGGGUGAGUAUCCCGUGAGUAGCCUGCCCUUGACUUUGGGAUAACUUCAGGAAACUGGGGCUAAUACCGGAUAGGAGCUCCUGCUGCCUGGUGGGGGUUGGAAAGUUUCGGCGGUGGGGGUGGGACUCGCGGCUUAUCAGCUUGUUGGUGGGGUAGUGGCUUACCAAGGCUUUGACGGGUAGCCGGCCUGAGCGGGGGACCGGCCACAUUGGGACGGAGAUACGGCCCAGACUCCUACGGGAGGCAGCAGUGGGGAAUAUUGCACAAUGGGCGGAAGCCUGAUGCAGCAACGCCGCGGGGGGGAUGACGGCCUUCGGGUUGUAAACCGCUUCCGCCUGUGACGAAGCGUGAGUGACGGUAAUGGGUAAAGAAGCACCGGCUAACUACGUG